AAUGAACGUUGGCGGCGUGGAUUAGGCAUGCAAGUCGAGCGCUCAUAGCAAUAUGGGAGCGGCGAACGGCGUAGUAAUAUGUAGGAACGUACCCUCGGGUCGGGGAUAGCCAUGGGAAACUGUGGGUAAUACCCGAUAAUCUCUGCGGAGCAAAGGUGUGAUUCCGCCUGAGGAGCGGCCUACACGAUAUUAGCUAGUUGGUAGGGUAAUGGCCUACCAAGGCUACGAUGUCUAGGGGGUGUGAGAGCAUGGCCCCCCACGACCGGAACUGAGAUACUGUCCGGACACCUACGGGUGGCUGCAGUCGAGAAUCUUCCGCAAUGGACGAAAGUCUGACGGAGCGACGCCGCGUGCGGGAUGAAGGCCCUUGGGUUGUAAACCGCUGUCAGAGGGGAUGAAAUCUUCGGAGGUACUCCUCCGAAGUUGACAGAGCCUCAAAGGAAGCACGGGCUAAGUACGUGCCAGCAGCCGCGGUAAAGUCAC
RNAcentral lists this ribosomal RNA (483 nucleotides) under uncultured bacterium. Its description in RNAcentral is "bacterial SSU rRNA". It matches the Rfam family "Bacterial small subunit ribosomal RNA", at positions 29 to 526 of the family's 1533-position model. The record is from RNAcentral.